UUGAACGCUGGCGGCAUGCCUUACACAUGCAAGGUCGAACGGCAGCACGGGAGCAAUCCUGGUGGCGAGUGGCGAACGGGUGAGUAAUAUAUCGGAACGUGCCCAGUCGUGGGGGAUAACGUAGCGAAAGCUACGCUAAUACCGCAUACGAUCUACGGAUGAAAGCGGGGGAUCGCAAGACCUCGCGCGAUUGGAGCGGCCGAUAUCAGAUUAGGUAGUUGGUGAGGUAAAGGCUCACCCAGCCGACGAUCUGUAGCUGGUCUGAGAGGACGACCAGCCACACUGGGACUGAGACACGGCCCAGACUCCUACGGGAGGCAGCAGUGGGGAAUUUUGGACAAUGGGCGCAAGCCUGAUCCAGCAAUGCCGCGUGCAGGAUGAAGGCCUUCGGGUUGUAAACUGCUUUUGUACGGAACGAAACGGUGAGCUCUAAUACAGUUUGCUAAUGACGGUACCGUAAGAAUAAGCACCGGCUAACUACGUG
This 484-nucleotide ribosomal RNA is filed under the name uncultured bacterium. Its description in RNAcentral is "bacterial SSU rRNA". It matches the Rfam family "Bacterial small subunit ribosomal RNA", at positions 30 to 507 of the family's 1533-position model. The record is from RNAcentral.